AGUCUGGAUGGAAAUUCCCCGCUCAUGUGCUGUGUGCCUCUGUGCAAGGCAGACGCUCGUCUGCUUUUUCACUUCGUGCUAGAAAGUUGUGGUGUAAAGACCUGUCCGCGUACUCGUUCCAAUUUCUCGAACAACCAUGUUUUACGAGCCAUGGUUUUUGUUUAAUGUGUUCUCUAGGGACGAGUUCUGGCUCGUACCGCGGCGGGCAGUGAUCGAUCCCGUUUUUCGUGAUUAUAAAUCGCUUUGCUGUACGUUUGAAUUCGCGCGAUUCACGCGCGCUUCACCCGGAAAACGGGCAGGGCGGAAGCCGGCCGGCAGCCGCAGCCUAACCUGCAACUAGGCCAUGUGCUUGUCGUGUUGUUUGUAAACAGAGUCAGUAUUUUCUCAGAUUUUUGUUGUUUUUAACUAUUUCUCAAAGUUUGAGUUAUUUUCCCUUAUUCACUUGGGUAUAAUGAAUUAGUAGAAAUGUUAGCAAAGCGAUUGAAAAGACCGAAUUGUUUAAAACAAAUCAAAUCUGAAAGCCAACCCCCUGCAACUCUCAAGAGAAGUUUUCUUCCAAUCUUUUCACACAACUUUGUAAUAGUCAAGGCUACCUUCAGUUAUUUUAGUGGUUUUAGUAUUGAGUGCAUUUCAAGAAACAACAUGCAGAGAAAAGUGUUGAACUUCUGUGUGGACCCAACCUGAUCUACACUCUGGCAGUCACAAGGGUAUCGACCUGCUGAACUUUUCAAACAACGUGAAGCGGCCCAGCCAGUAUGAAAGAUGAGACCAACUUUAUGAAAAUAGGUGAGUUGAUCUGGAAUGUUUACCUAUUACAUUGGAAAUGAUAGCUUUUUUUAUCUACAUCAAUAGUUUGUGGUGCAUGUUGUCACUUUAAGAAAUAUUUUAAAGAAUUUUUUCGGUUGCAAAUUAUAACAUUACAUUUAAUAUAUUCGCCUCUUAAAUUUUGAAGUGUUAGGAGUGAUACGUUUUAAAAAUAAUGAUUAGUCAGAAUAUGUAACGUAGGUUUAUGCUAAUCAUCAGUAAAGAAACCUUCACUUUACUGUUAUCAACUGAUGUAUUCAUAGGAAACUGAUUUUUUAUUCAAAUGUGAUAGCUGAGUUAUAUUUUUGUUCGAACCAAGGUGUUGAAAAUCAUCUAACUGUUACUAGGAAAUUAUAUUUGUAGUGCUAUUACCAUAACAGCUGUUUUAUAGGUUCAACAUAUUUAGCAACUUUCCGAUCAGUCUUAAGCCGCUAAUUGUGGAGGAAUAGAUUGUACCCUGUUGACAUUGUGCAUAAGAAAUAUUAGGGUGCAUGUCAUCACAUGUUUCAAUAAAUACCAAUCGGCUAGUUAUCCUGGAGCUUUUACCAAAAAGCCAGAGUUUUAUCAUUUGCCUUAGUAUUUGAUACUCAUCCCAAUAAAACAACUUUAUUUUUUAUGAAAUGUUCCUCAAACCAUCUCA
This is a long non-coding RNA of Frankliniella occidentalis (western flower thrips), 1444 nucleotides long. RefSeq lists it as uncharacterized. The transcript is spliced from 2 exons. The record is from RefSeq and is a predicted model, not a curated record. NCBI's taxonomy places the organism in Eukaryota, Metazoa, Arthropoda, Insecta, Thysanoptera, Thripidae.